This 786-nucleotide long non-coding RNA is filed under the name Phoenix dactylifera (date palm). RNAcentral describes it as "long non-coding RNA (PDAC_LNC007469)". The record is from RNAcentral. Lineage: Eukaryota; Viridiplantae; Streptophyta; Magnoliopsida; Arecales; Arecaceae.
UUGAUUGGAGCAGGAGAGAGAUGAGAAGAAGAGGGGCGAUGUGGAAUAGAGAGAACUUAGAGAAAUUGAGGGGGGGAUUUCAUUUCUUUUGUGAAAAAUGAAAAAAAAUAAGGGAGAUUAAUCUCAAGAAAGUGAGAGUUCUGAUACACUGGAGAGUCGGGAGGAAGUGGACGUGCGAGGGCUAUUGAGGGAUAGUGCGCUAUUUUUCCAAAAAAAAUAACUUUCCGCAUAUGUGAUAAGGACCUUAUCUACGGGAAUUCAAGCGAGAAGGGGUCAGCUUUACGUAAACUGUAUACAUUUUGAAAGAUUUCCAAUGUGAUCCAAAAUUACUUUAGCUUUUGUACCCAUUAUCACUUUUGAUGAGUCCAAACAUACUCCCAAACAUGGACUAAAUAUGCUUGCAAUUCCCUCAAGUGACAGAAUUAGCAUAUAUAAUUAGCAACAUCAUGUGAAAACAAUGCAAUGUUGACCUACUUUUCGGGUCUUUGGUUAGGCCUUGAUGUAAUUGGGUGUUUGUAAUCUUUUUGUAUCUUAAAUAAGAAACUUUGAGAAAUUCAUUUGGGGUUGAUCAUAUGCAAAUCUGAGUCUAGAUUUCUUAUACAAUGUUGCCUCUCAUUAUUUUUUGAAUUAUAUUUUUAAAGAUAAGAUGAUUUUUAUUUUUGUUUCAAAAUUAUAUAAGUUGCUUGUGUUAGGGUGGCAUCCAUCUGGCUUGCAUAGUUACUGUAACAACCUAAAACCUUACCCAAAAUGGCUAGGCGAAAGAUAUUAUUUGGGUUCCUUGAUCUU